This is a long non-coding RNA of Oreochromis niloticus (Nile tilapia), 545 nucleotides long. RefSeq lists it as uncharacterized. Lineage: Eukaryota; Metazoa; Chordata; Actinopteri; Cichliformes; Cichlidae. The record is from RefSeq and is a predicted model, not a curated record. The transcript is spliced from 3 exons.
GCCUCCAGCUGCUAUGCCGCCAUCAGCUCAACCACCUGCACCUGCUAUCCAACCACCUGCACAUACCACGUCCGACCCUGCUUCACCUCAGCCAGUUUUCUGCACCUGUUUCACAGGUAGCCAAAAGAUCAGUUACACUGUAACUUGGACACCUGGUCAAACAUGGAUGCAUUGAAACUGGUAUUCAUUCAGCUUUUACCACUAACUGCAUACUCACAAGAUUUGGGAGGAGAGACUGUGGUGAAAACAAUUGGGAAACAACCAGAUGUCACUCAAAUAUGCACCAAUGAAACACAGAACAUCAUCACGCUGAUAGUUUGUAAGAUCAGAACUCAGAGAAGUGGAGGAGAAAAUUGUAUUCUGCUCUAUGAAUAUGCACGAGGCUUUGAACAGAAAUGUGACUCCAGGUUUACGCUGAUGAAAGAAAAUCAGACUGUGUUUCUCCACCUGAUCAAUUUAACAUCAGAGGACAGUGGGAGCUACACCUGUCAGUGUUCAGCUCCUGAAAGAACAAAUAUUCUCCAUCUUAAUGUCACUGUGGACGG